This 433-nucleotide ribosomal RNA is filed under the name uncultured bacterium. RNAcentral describes it as "partial 16S ribosomal RNA". It matches the Rfam family "Bacterial small subunit ribosomal RNA", at positions 29 to 507 of the family's 1533-position model. The record is from RNAcentral.
AACGAACGCUGGCGGCAUGCCUAACAUAUGCAAGUCGAACGAGACCUUCGGGUCUAGUGGCGCACGGGUGCGUAACGCGUGGGAACCUGCCCUUAGGUUCGGAAUAACUCCCCGAAAGGGGUGCUAAUACCGGAUAAUGUCUUCGGACCAAAGAUUUAUCGCCUUUGGAUGGGCCCGCGUUGGAUUAGCUAGUUGGUAGGGUAAAAGCCUACCAAGGCGACGAUCCAUAGCUGGUCUGAGAGGAUGAUCAGCCACACUGGGACUGAAACCCGGCCCAGACUCCUACGGGAGGCAGCAGUGGGGAAUAUUGGACAAUGGGCGAAAGCCUGAUCCAGCAAUGCCGCGUGAGUGAUGAAGGCCUUAGGAUUGUAAAGCUCUUUUACCCGGGAUGAUAAUGACAGUACCGAGAGAAUAAGCUCCGGCUAACUCCGUG